AUUACAAUUUGGAUAUGCUUUACAAGCUCAAUCACUAUAUGAUGUAGGCAACUUGAUACUCCUUAAGUCCAUUCACCAAACUGAAGGAUGAGUUGUUUGAAUUCUUGAAGAGACGCUUAAUUCUGAUUUAAAGUUCUACCAUUUGAAGACGAAUUUGUAACUGAAAUGUUCCUUGUUCCAAUUAUGAUGUGGUGAAAGGUAUAUGGGCAAAGGAUUAUGCUGAGAUAAACUUAACAUCAUCCUGGAUAAGGUGAGAAACAAGAGAACACCAAUCUGGUGGUUUAAUUUUUUUAAUAUUUCAUAUAUCCUAUUGAGUGAAUUAGAUCGUCUGAUGUGGAGAUACACAAGUGAUACAAAUACUUGAAAUAGGUUGCUAAAACAUAGGUUCUCUAUUAGGGUAAUAGUGACCCAACAUUCUCUCUCUCUCUCUCUCUCCGUGUAUAUAUAUAUAUAUAUAUAUAUCUUCAAUCCCUCAUUAACGGUCAUCUCCCUUCUCAUCUUCCUUGUGCCAUCACCGGCGGUCACCGAAAUCACAAUUCGCCCCGCUUUCUUCAAGAUUGCGACGUCCCAGAUCUGGGCUAAGGAGCAUCACCUCCGCUCUCUAGAUAUCCUCUUUUUCCCUCUUAGAGCGGGCCCGACGGUCGUAUGCAGACACCAACUCGACAGCGAUGACCAGCGGCGGCAGAGGCAUGUGGCGGAGUGUGGAAGGACAGAAAUUGACACAGGCGGGUGUAAUAACAAUGUUUUGACAUCCAAAUCGGUAAUCCAGGUUCUGAUCACCCAGAGUGGGUACCUCCAGAUAUCCUGUCUCCCCUUUGUUUUCCUUUCUAGUAUGUUUCAAACUUUGAAAGUGCAAAAUGAAGUUGGAGAUGCAAUGUGUUUAAAUGAAAUUAGGCUUCCCUUCCAGAUUUUCUCUUCUUUUGUUUAGCAUUACAUGUAUUAAUUAGUUUGAUAGUCAAAGUUUCUAGUUGUAAUUAAUGUCAACAUCAACACCCUAUUCCCUAGUAAGAUUCAGAAUUCGAGUGUUAAAAAUCUAAAUCUGUACAGUAUUCUAUUUUGGAACUGUGUUAAACUAUGGUUGGUAAGGCUGCCAUAUGAGUCUAGGCAGCUGAAUAUUUUUGACACGUUUGGCAUGAAAUCAAUGAAUAUUCAUGCUUAAAGGAAUGGAAUUAGACAGAGUUGAGUACA
This is a long non-coding RNA of Nicotiana tabacum (common tobacco), 1188 nucleotides long. RefSeq lists it as uncharacterized. The record is from RefSeq and is a predicted model, not a curated record. NCBI's taxonomy places the organism in Eukaryota, Viridiplantae, Streptophyta, Magnoliopsida, Solanales, Solanaceae.